This 467-nucleotide ribosomal RNA is filed under the name Treponema sp. oral taxon 257. RNAcentral describes it as "bacterial SSU rRNA". It matches the Rfam family "Bacterial small subunit ribosomal RNA", at positions 29 to 488 of the family's 1533-position model. Lineage: Bacteria; Pseudomonadati; Spirochaetota; Spirochaetia; Treponematales; Treponemataceae. The record is from RNAcentral.
AACGAACGCGGCGGCGCGUCUUAAGCAUGCAAGUCGAACGGCAAGAUACUUUCGGGUAUCCUAGAGUGGCGGACUGGUGAGUAACGCGUGGAUGACGUACCCUCGUGACGGGGAUAGCCGGUAGAAAUACCGGGUAAUACCGGAUAAGGUCUCACGGAAUAAAGGCGUGAGAGGAAAGCAGCGUAUGCUGCGCAGGAGAACGGUCUGCGGCCUAUCAGCUGGUUGGCAGGGUAAAGGCCUACCAAGGCGACGACGGGUAUCCGGCCUGAGAGGGUGAACGGACACAUUGGGACUGGUACGGCCCAGACUCCUACGGGAGGCAGCAGUCUAAGAAUAUUCCGCAAUGGGGGGAAUCCUGACGGAGCGACGCCGCGUGACGAUGAAGGUCGGAAGAUUGUAAAGUCCUUUUAUACAUGAAGAAGAAGUUAUACAGGAAAUGGUAUGAUGGUGACGGUAGUGUAUGAAUA